CACCCAAGUGCAAAUGUUGCUCUUGGUGUUGCUCCUGCUCCUGCUCUUGCUCUUGUCCAACAUCCAAUUGCUGUAGGUGUAGAAAGCCCUCAUGCAGCUGUAACUGCUGCACUUGUCGACUUCCUUCGUGCCCAGAUUGCUCUUGUUGCAAACCUUCGUGCCCAGAUUGCUCUUGUUGCAGACCUUCGUGCCCGGAUUGCUCUUGUUGCAGACCUUCGUGCCCGGAUUGCUCUUGUUGCUCUUGUUGCAGACCUUCGUGCCCGGAUUGUUCUUGUUGCUCUUGUUGCAGACCUUCGUGCCCGGAUUGCUCUUGUUGCAUACCUUCAUGCCCAAAUUGCUCUUGUUGCAAAUUGUCAUGUCCAAAAUGCAAUUGCUGCACAUGGUUAUGCUGUUGUCCUAAGUGGACAUGCUCUAC
Molecule: long non-coding RNA, 415 nt
Filed under: Ricinus communis (castor bean)
Lineage: Eukaryota; Viridiplantae; Streptophyta; Magnoliopsida; Malpighiales; Euphorbiaceae
Description: long non-coding RNA (RCOM_LNC000697)
Source: RNAcentral